Molecule: long non-coding RNA, 464 nt
Organism: Musa acuminata AAA Group (dessert banana)
Lineage: Eukaryota; Viridiplantae; Streptophyta; Magnoliopsida; Zingiberales; Musaceae
Exons: 2
Source: RefSeq, a predicted model, not a curated record
AUGCCUCGCCUCUCCACUCCGCUGUCUCGAUCGGUGGGCGGACGGAACACGGAGGCGACUUCGCUCGCCGCGCUCUCUGCCCCACCUCGGCAAUGCCCGCCGCACCCGCCCCGAUUUAAUAGCUUCGGGGCUUCCGGCCUACCAUCCACGCCUGGCAGCAGAGAUUGAUGUACUGGUCCUGAAAUUUGAUUUGGGAAUCCCGGGAACAAGCUAACGAGUCACAUACCUUGUUCAUCAUCAUUUGUUACUCAUGGAAGAUACUACUCAUGGAAAAUGUAUAAGCUUAAAAGGCAGUGCCAGCAGAAUCGAAUUCUAUGGAGUCAACCGGAUUUCUUAGUUAUCAUUGUAGGAUGAUGUGAACAUUGUGAACAUCGAGUGUCUACAUCAGUAAUGAGGGUAUUUUGAGGCCAAACAUUUUGAGCUCCCAGUCUAUUUGCUGCAACUAAGAACAGGCAUUCCUUCCA